AACUUAACUCUCUAGAUAAGCAUUCGAUUGUUUCGAGCGCUCAAAAGAUCCUCUGAAUCCAAUUUUGGGCGCCUGAUUCCGUUCAAGAUUCCGAAAGUGGUCCAAAAACUCUAGCUAAUUCAAGAGUUUGAAGGCUGUCUCGAUCCGAGUUCAUUUUAAUUCGAUCCAAACUCAGUCUAAACCUUUCUAACUCCAUUUUAGUCAUGUCUAACGUGAUAAAAUUUGCAUUUUGUCAAUUUAUCCAAAGUUUGGUGCAUUACAAAAACCUAAAAUUCUAGCCUGAAUUAGAAAAUCCGAAGACAAAACAAUAAUUUCUUUUUGCCAUAUUUCAAAACAUAUUAUAUUAAAAUCUAAAAAUAUUAAAAUCUCAAUAUUCAAAAUAUAAAUUCAAUUAUAACAUCAAAUAUUCAUGCAUAUAAUAGCAAUAACCAAAUAGAAAAAGUACAUUUUCAUAAUAUCUAGUCCAAAUGCCCAAUCUCCAAAU
Molecule: long non-coding RNA, 484 nt
Filed under: Ananas comosus (pineapple)
Lineage: Eukaryota; Viridiplantae; Streptophyta; Magnoliopsida; Poales; Bromeliaceae
Description: long non-coding RNA (ACOM_LNC043586)
Source: RNAcentral